CGAACCUCGAGCGCGCGCACAACCCUCGGUGGUCGAUAAAAUUUCGCGACGUUCCCAGGACUCGUCGCCGACCCUUUCAUUUUUAUUUGCACAUGCGGAAGCAGUUAUAAUUCCCCAGACAAUAAAGCAAUGGGAUAGAAAAGCAGGCCAUAUAUUUUUCAUACUGAAAAUUUACAACCACACCUUUUUACAUGCAUCUCAUAGUAUUCUACAAUACUAUAUAUACGCAACUCUGAUCUAACGUCUAUUCACAUGCAAACAAGGUCUGACAAGACAGGACGGGAUCUCAGUCCUCAUCCGGGUCGUACUCGGGGUCCUCCUCCACGUACUCCUCUUCAAGCUCCUCAACAGGGAUCUCCUCAUCAGAUUCAUGCUCCUUAUGCUCCUCAUCCAGGUCCUGAAAUGGUUAUUCAAUAACCACUGAGACAACGUCUCAGCAAGUUCUACCCCUAAGCCCCGGUUAGUACACCAACUCAACCCAGGGUAUCUAUCCAGAACUACCCCACCACAAGCAACAACCAACAGUCGAUUCGCAUACAACCUUACCUGGUAUGCCAUACCCUGCACGUUAUAAUUCAGCAUAAUACACGCAAUGCACAUGGCCAUUAGAUGAUACAUUUCAUCAAUCACAUAUGAGUCGCAUCACAAGCGAUCUCACCUGGCCAUUGCCACACCCUGCAUGUUAUCGGUUCAUGCACGCGUGCCAUAAACAAUGUGCUUAACUCACGUAUGACCGAAAUCGCAGAUGCCAUGAUUCUCAUGCAUUCUUGCACAUUAUCACAGUUCAACAAUAUCAUGCAUAUAUUCAAUGCAUACAACAAUUGAAACGUCUUAUCCACUCAAUUAAUCACAGGGGUCCGGAUUAUAAGACCGAAUCAUUAUGACACGUCCCAUACCAUGCCACACAAUUCCGUCCCAUAAUCCAGCGCGUCAAUCAACACCCAACAUGCGUUCCAAUUGUUAUUCACUGCCACUCAAGGGCAUAGCCUACUCACAGUUCGGCUAUCUACUGACAUUAAUGCCAGGCAUCGUCUCCCCCCAUGGAGCACGGCUUCGUCACUACGUCGACGGCAUUCCCGAAGGAGCAUCGUCUCCCCCCUUGGAGCACGGCUUCGUCACUACGUCGACGGCAUUCCCGAAGGAGCAUCGGUCCAUUCGGCACAGCCUCUACUGCGACCGGCAUCCAUUGCGCGGGCAUCCCAUAUAGGGGCACGUCCAGCUCAACAGCUCGGGACGGUUUCCUCUUAACCAACACACGAAAAUUCAAUAUCGGCCCAGGACACUUUGCAUUUCACUCAAAUGCCCCGAUUAAAAUAGUAAUCCUGGCCUCUUUCCUUCGUAUUAAAAACAUCUGAGAAAGUAGUCGUGCGUGGGCACACGUUAAUUCGAACCAGAAAACUGAUACUUUCCUUUUUCAAACCCCACUGUUCGAUAUAAUACUUAAAAUCCAUUUUCGGUGUCAAAACCCGACACCCGGGAUUUUCUGAAUAAAUACCAAAUUUCCAAUCACCACACAAUUGCACAAUCAUCACUCAAUUCAUGCAGAUGCCCAUGCAUUUUCACAUCCAUUUACUUCAUAGACUCAACACAUAUGAAUUUUAGACACUUUUUGCAUUCUGGAUGAACAGUGCACGUGAACAGUAACUCGUGAACAGUAAAUCGUGAAUAGUGUCGCAUGAACAGUAAAUUUCCAGAAUUUAAUAAACUAUAAAUUAAAUUCAGAAAUCAUUAAAAGCAUUAAUUAAAGCAACCAUCAAUUAAUUAAAGCCAAUCAUACUUAAUUAACCACAAAAACCACAUUAAGCAAAUAAAGUAAGAUUAGGCUAGACUAAUUUAAUUCAUCCAUCUAACCACCUAUCUUAGGGCUAAUACAACUUAAUUAAAUCACUUAAACUAGAAUUAAAUCUAACUAAACCAACCCUAAGCAAGUUUAGGCACUAAUCGAAGGAUUAGGAGCUAAACUCACCCGUUAAGCGGGCCGGAAACACCGACGCGGCGGCGACGACGGAGGCGACGCUCCGGGACCUCUACCACGACGAUCAAAGGUGGUCCCAAGCUCAACACAGCAACCACAGCUCGGACUCCCACUGAAACUUCUGAAAAACAGCCCUGCCGGAGAAGAAAACAAGUUGAACGGCUUGGCCGGAGCUCCGGCGAGGAGGGUGGCUGGCAACCGGUGACACUUGGGGGUCUUGGGGAUCUUGAUGGAGGUUGGGAUGGGCGGAGGAAGGACCGGAAUGGGAGAAAAAUGGCCGAAAACGCGAAACAGUGCAGGCUGCAGGCGGACCGACGGACCGGCGACUGGUUCCUUCCCGGCGGCGCCCAGGCCGGCCGGCAGCUCCGUUCGGGAUGAAAUCAGGUUCGUUGGAACGGUCUGUCUCUCCCGGUCACAGUGAUAUGUGGAUCGUUGGCUGAUUCAUCUGGGAAGACCACUUUUGACUCGAUUCUUUGACGAAGGGUCAGCUGGAGCAGAAACUGAAGGAGAGGGAAAACGAGGAAGAGAGGAGCUCGUCCGCUUGGAGGCCGAAUGGGGGAGAGAGAGAGUGAUGGGAGGGCUGAGAGCACUCCUCAUUAAGGCCAUUUAAUGGCCACUUCAAGUCCCCAUGCAUG
This 2610-nucleotide long non-coding RNA is filed under the name Eucalyptus grandis. RNAcentral's name for it is "long non-coding RNA (EGRA_LNC002662)". Lineage: Eukaryota; Viridiplantae; Streptophyta; Magnoliopsida; Myrtales; Myrtaceae. The record is from RNAcentral.